RNAcentral lists this ribosomal RNA (757 nucleotides) under Erysiphe epigena. Its description in RNAcentral is "eukaryotic LSU rRNA". It matches the Rfam family "Eukaryotic large subunit ribosomal RNA", at positions 1 to 771 of the family's 3401-position model. The record is from RNAcentral. Lineage: Eukaryota; Fungi; Ascomycota; Leotiomycetes; Helotiales; Erysiphaceae.
UUGACCUCGAAUCAGGUAGGAAUACCCGCUGAACUUAAGCAUAUCAAUAAGCGGAGGAAAAGAAACCAACCGGGAUUACCUCAGUAACGGCGAGUGAAGCGGUAACAGCUCAAAUUUGAAAUCUGGCUCCUGCGGAGUCCGAGUUGUAAUUUGUAGAAGAUGCUUUGGGUUGUGGGUUCGGCCUAAGUUCCUUGGAACAGGACGUCAUAGAGGGUGAGAAUCCCGUAUGUGGCCGAGGCCCGCGCCUAUGUAAAGCUCUUUCAACGAGUCGAGUUGUUUGGGAAUGCAGCUCAAAAUGGGUGGUAAAUUUCAUCUAAAGCUAAAUAUGGGCCAGAGACCGAUAGCGCACAAGUAGAGUGAUCGAAAGAUGAAAAGCACUUUGGAAAGAGAGUUAAACAGUACGUGAAAUUGUUGAAAGGGAAGCGCUUGCAACCAGACUUGGGCGCUGCCGAUCACCCUGAGUUCUCUCAGGUGCACUCGACAGCGCACAGGCCAGCAUCGGUUCGGGUGGCUGGAUAAAGGCCGUAGGAACGUAGCUCCCUCCGGGGAGUGUUAUAGCCUACGGUGCCAUGCAGCCCAGCCGGACCGAGGACCGCGCCUUCGGGCUAGGAUGCUGGCGUAAUGGUUGUAAGCGACCCGUCUUGAAACACGGACCAAGGAGUCUAACAUCUAUGCGAGUGUUUGGGUGGCAAACCCAUACGCGGAAUGAAAGUGAACGUAGGUGAGAACCCCUUUGGGGCGCAUCAUCGACCGAUCC